Molecule: long non-coding RNA, 7252 nt
Filed under: Arachis ipaensis
Lineage: Eukaryota; Viridiplantae; Streptophyta; Magnoliopsida; Fabales; Fabaceae
Description: long non-coding RNA (AIPA_LNC000300)
Source: RNAcentral
AGCCCCCUAACUUAACCCCACCGUCAUUCAUUUUCUUAUCUCUUAAUCUAACCUACGGAAGAAAGGGAAAUAAAGAAAGAAAUGGAAAAUAAGGAAAACAGGGGGAAGGAAGGGGAAAUAAGGAAAGAAAGGGAAAUAAGGAAGACAUGGGGAAGCUCGAGAAGUGGGGAACUGAUAAAGGAAGAAAAGGAAAGGAAGUGAAGAGAGAGAGAAGCGUAGAGGGAGAAGAGGAAGAAGCCGCCGCCACUGCGGUUCGCGUUCACGUCGCCGUCGUAGCGCCUCCAUCCUUGCGCCAGUCGCUGCCGCUGUCGGUGAUGAAGCCCGUCGUCGCCACUUGCGCCUCUACCGCCGUCAGAACUGCACGCCGCCGCUGGAAGCAUCUUCAUCGUCGCCGUUGAUGGAGGUCCGUGAACAGUGGGAAGAUGCACGAGGAAGGAGAAGCCUUCGCCGUUGCCGCUCCGUCUCAACCUGGUUAUCGCCGUCAAGCCACGCCCGCGCCACCGUCACUGAGAUGCCGUUGUUGUUGCCUCCAUUUCCGCCGCAGAUGCCGCCGGCGCCGCCGUAAGCUGCUCCUGCCAAUUGGUUCUGAUUCGGUGGGAAUCCCUUGUGCCAGAUCUGUCCUAAGUGGUUCCGAGUUCACGUUGGUUCUGCUCUUGCCGAUGAGGGCCGCCGGAGCUGCGACUGCGACUGCACUGAUUUUGGUUCCUUGUUAUGUAGUAAGUUGCUUUUGCUCCAAAAACCCCUCUUUGUCAUUGUUACCCCCUCUUUGUCAUUGUUUUGUUAUACAUUAUUGAGUUUCAUGCGACAUUAAUGUUUUAGGAUUGAGCUACAAUUCUGGGAUGAUGUGUUUAGAAGUUGUAGCUGUUGCGGGGAUAGUCGAUUUUGAUGCCACUGCUGCGAAAUAAGAAUAGAAACGGAAUUUUGUCACGUAGUUGAGCCUUGAAUUGAGGUAGGGGUUUUCUUAAAAUUCAUUUUAUCUUACAGAGUUGUUAUAAAUAGAUAUUAAUGUGAGAAUUAUAUGUCUGUGAUUAUGAUUGUUUUAUAAAUGUGGUUGUUUGCUGGACUGAUUGCUUGUGUGGUUUGUGAUUGCUGAAAAGAAAUUAGUUUGAAAGGUUAUUUAGUUAAUUAUUAUGAAAAAUGGUCUUCUUGGUUUUGAAGCUAUUUUUGACAAUGUAAACGAACCGGCUUUAGAAAUGAUUUGGAAUAUGAAACUGAGUUAAUUUUGAAAACGGUUUAAUUUUGAGUUAAUCUGACUUUAUAGAUGAUUUAGUAUUUGAGCUUGUUUGAUUUUAAAAAGAGAUUUAUUAUUGGCAUUGACUCGCUUUGAAAAUAAUUUGAUAUUGGAGUUGGUUGAAUUUUGGAAAUGAAUGAGAUUUGGAAAUGGUUGAGAAUAGGUUUGAGAAAUGUUUGGAUGGGACCCGAAAAGAGUGGCAGUGUCCGAGUUUUAGAGGAGAUGCUGCCGAAAUUUUAUAAAACUGAAAGUUUUAUUUAGAGUAAUUAAUUAAAAAGGUUUGUUUUUAAACAUUAUAUGUUUAAAGAUUUAUUUAUUUAUCAGAGAAAGAAUUAUGUUUUGAUUUGGGAUUGUUAAUGGAUGAAAUGGAAAGGAGGAUGAUGAUAAUUUUCUUUGAAAUAUGGUUCUUGAAUGAAUUUGGAAAUGAGAUUUGGACUGAUGAAUGACUGUGAAGUUGAGAAUGUUGAGAAUGUUAAGAUAUUGAUUGAGAAUGUUGAGUUAUGAACUCUGAUUUAUUCGUGUGGCUUAUGAAAUUGAAUUAUCUGAGAUACGAGGUUCCCUGGAUUAAGUGCCGUGGCUUGCCACCACGUGUACCACGUUGAAAACUCGAUACUCUGUUGACCCUACGACGUAAGUGUGACCGGGCACUAUAUAAAUUCCCGGGAAUGUUACCCCCAUUGAGCAAUAUUGAUUAUUUAAGAAAAAGCUAUGCAUAGACUCUUGGGGAUGCACGUCGGGGGACAGUCUAAGGACAAUUCAGACUUGUCGGGUUGGCUGGAUAACCGACAGAUGAGCCUCAUCAGCCAUAGGACAGGCAUGCAUCAUAUGCAUUUAUUUGCUUUGCUUGGGUUUGAACUUGUUUUGGUUUGCCUAAUUGUUAAAUUAUUCUUAAAUGCUACUUGAACUAUUUGCUGUAACUGCUACCUUCUUGUGCUUUCCUUGUCUGUCUUGCUUGUGUUUGUCCUGACGUGCUAUAUUUGAGAAUGAACUUUAGUGCUGAAUUAAUGAUUGUGUUGUUUGAUUGCGUGGUUGGUUUCUGAAUGAGGUUUUCUUAUAAGAAAAGAAAGGUUUUGGAUUUCUGAAAGAUUAAACAUUGUUUCUUUAAAAAGGUUUUAAACGAUUACCUAUUGAUUUUUAAAAGAUUCAUAAGGCAAUGAUAAUCACUGAGCUUGAAAACAGAUUUCUUAUUAGAUAUCUUCAUAUGACAACUUUGAAACUCUGAGGUGAGACCGUGUGGUUAAGUUCUCACUAGGGGUGGCAAGCGGGGAAGCCCGCCCCGCCCCGCCCCGCCCCGCCAAAACCAGCGGUUUAAGCGGUGCGGGUUAAGCGGGCUUUUGCUAUUUGGCGGUCCCAAUUUUCCAGCCCGGCCCGCCUUUUUUGGCGGGUUACGCGGGCCGGCCCGGCGGGUUUAGGCCCGUUUGCCACCCCUAGUUCUCACCCCCCUACAGCUUUACUUUUUCAGGAACCAGAUGAAGAGGCAUUAAGAGUUAUACUGAGUUUGGUUUAUAUGCUGCUGUGUUAAUUAGAUUAUUUUCUUCCCUCGUCUUUGUUAUUACAAAUUUGUAAGAGGGAUAGGAAUUGUAUGUUCUAUAUGUAUAUUAUAUUAUGAGAUAAUAUGUAAGGAGUCUUGUAUAUGAAUCUAUGCCUGCUUGCAUUUUUCUUAAGAUAAAGUGUUUAUUUCCGGUUUGAUAAGAAAUCAGCGAUACAGUGGCGAGUCACAGGCUCCUAUUUUAGUACUUAGUAUGUAAAGUAGUCGUAAUACUUCUUACUAUCAGAGUGGCGCAGCCGGAAGCGUGACUUUUGAUAAUGAGGAUGUUACAAUAAUAAUAAUAUUACCGUCACUGACCCUAAAUUUAAACUACUAACAACUUAUAAUAAUAAUAACAAUAACAACGNNNNNNNNNNNNNNNNNNNNNNNNNNNNNNNNNNNNNNNNNNNNNNNNNNNNNNNNNNNNNNNNNNNNNNNNNNNNNNNNNNNNNNNNNNNNNNNNNNNNNNNNNNNNNNNNNNNNNNNNNNNNNNNNNNNNNNNNNNNNNNNNNNNNNNNNNNNNNGAUGGCUGAUAUAUCUUAUAAUAUGAAGUUCAGAUCGAUCAACAUCUUUAGAUUUUUAUUUUUUUGAUAUUAUAAUUUUAUUUCAGUCAUUUUGGGAAGACGAAGAAGAUCUGGAUGAAGAAGAGGAUGGGAGAAUGGUUGCUGGUGGGAUAAAGAGGAAGCUCAGCUCGGAUGGUGGGAAUACAUGCAGUAAAGGGAAGCUGGGGUUAGGGGGGCACCGUUGUGGGGAGCAACGUCGACGCGACACAUGGCGGGGGAGGGACAACUCGAACCCUCCGAUCUAUGCCCACAAUGUGGACCGUCCGAUUUGUCAUAGAGAUUUCGGAUCGUCCGAUUUGUCCUUACCUGAUCCCACAAUAUGGUAAAGCACACACGCACUAUAAUUCUAUUUUUAUUUAUUUUAUAAAAUUACAUUAUUAUCCCUAUUUUUAUUUAAAUUUUCUAAUCUACCUCACACCACUCCAAACCCUAACACUACACUCACCACACCCCACACUCACGGUGAACACACACACAAAACUCACCCACACUCACAAAGCAAAGAAUAGAAAAAAGAAAAGAAAGAAAAGAGAGUGGAGGUUGCGAAAGAAGAGGGAGAAUCCGAGAGAGAGAGAGAGAGAGAGAGUGCCGGGAAAGGGGGGAGCUGUCUGCGCUGCCACACAGUGUCGCCGCCAGACCGCGUCCAGCCCGCACUGCCUCUGCGCCAUGUGCCGCCGUCAAGCUUGCCUCACUGUUCGUCCUUGUUGCCGCCAAUUACGCUGUCGCGGAAGGGAGAUGCACGAGAGAGGAGUGGCUGAUUCUGUCACCACCACCGCGCCGUGCUCCACGCUGUCGCCGCCUCUAUUCCAUCACGAAAGAAGGACACGCAAGGGGGAAAACAGAACCGCGAGAGAGCUCAGCCACGGAGGGAGGAGAUGCGCGCCUAACCCAUCGCCGAACUGCGUUGCUGUCCAUGAAAUUGUCUCCGCCGCCGCUGUCGGAGGUUGUCACCGUGCCUUGCCUCUGCCGCUGGAGACCGCCGUUGGAUCCUCUGACUCGGUAAGCGUUUCGUUCUGAGAUCUUUAAAAAUCGAUAAUCUGUUAUAAGUUAUUAAAGAUUCUAAGAUGUUGGUAACGUAGGGUCGAGCUUCGAGUGUUGCGUGCUGAGUUCAAUGGCUGUUGCAUGCGUCCUCAAGCUGCUACGUCGUCACUGGAGCUGCCUUUCCUCCGUUUUCUCAAUUAUUCGUGAGCCCAGUAAGUCAUUCCUUGUUUCGAACUCUUUCAGUUGCUGUUUUGUUAUAGAUUAUUGAAUUUUACAGAACGUUAAUAUAUCAAGAUUGAGUGUUGUUGUGAGUGGCACUUUUGGGGAUGUUACGGCUGCGGGAAAUAGUCAGACUCGAUGCCGUUCGAUUUCAGGCCGAGGAGAAAAGGGAUUCUCUGAUGCGUUUGGUUGUGGGUUCGCUUGCUGAGGUAGGGUUUUCUUAAAAUUUAUUUUAUCUUAUAGAGUUGUUAUAAAUAGAUAUUAAUGUGAGAAACAUAUGUCUGUGAUUAUGAUUGUCUUAUGAAUGUGGUUGUUUGCUGGACUGAAUGACUAAUUGCUUGAGUGGUGUGUGAUUAUUGAAAAGAAAUUAGUUUGAAAAGUUUUUUAGUUAAUUAUUAUGAAAAGUGAUUUUUCUUGGGUUUGAAGUUAAUUUGAUAAUAUAAAUGAAUCGGUUUUGGAAAUGAUUUAAGAUAUGAAAAUGAAUUAAUUUUGGAAGCGAUUUAAUUUUGAAUUAGUUUAAUUUUAUAAAUGAUUUAAUAUUUGAGCUGGUUUAAUUUUGGAAAAAAAAUAUUAUUGGAAAUGGUUCAAUUUGAAAAUAAUUUGAUACUAGAACUAGUUGAAUUUUGGAAAAUGAUUGAGAUUUGGAAAUGGUUGAGAAAGGGUUUGAGGAAUGUUUAGAUGGGACCCAAAAAGGGUGGCAGAGUCCGAGUUUUAGAGGAGAUGCUGCCGAAAUUUUAUAAAAUUGGAAGUUUUGUUUGAAGUAAUUAUUUAAAAAGAUUUGGUUUUAAACAUUAUAUGUUUUAAGAUUGAUUUAUUUAGAAAAGAAAGAAUUAUGUUUUGAAUUGGGAUUGUUGAUGAACAUAAUGGAAAGAUGGAUGAUGAGGAUUGACUUUGAAAUAUGAUUUUUUAAUGAAUUCGGAAAUAAGGUAUGGAUUGACGAAUGAUGAUGAUAUUGAGAAUGACUUAGAUAUUGAUGAAUGUUGAAUGAGUUAUUCAUAUGGCUUAUGAAUUUGAAUUAUCUGAGACACGAAUUUUCCUGGGUAGACGUAGUGGCUUGCCACCACUUGCUCCAAGUUGAGACUCGAUACUCUGUUGACCCCAUGACGUAAGGGUGACCGGCCACUUAUAAAUUCUCGGGAAUGGUACCCCCAUUGAGAGAUUUGAUAUAUAUAUGAGAAAAAUCUAUGCAUAGACUCAUGGGGAUGCGCAUCAGGGGACAAUCCAAGGGUUUAGCAUAGGACAUGCAUGCAUCAUAUGUAUUUGUAUUCUUUGCUUGGGUUUGAAUUUGUUUUGCUUUGCCUAAUUGUUAAACUAUUAUUAACUGCUACCUGAACUAUUUGCUGUAACUGCUAUCUAAACCUGUGCUUUCCUUGUCUAUUUUGACUGUGUUUGUUCUGGUGUGCUAUUUUUGAGAAUAAGCUUUGAUGCUGAAUUAAUGAUUGUGUUGAUUGAUUGCAUGGUUGGUUUCUGAUUGAGAUUUUCUUAAAAGAAAAGAAAGGUUUUGGAUUUUUGGAUAUUUAAAUAUUAAUUUUCAAAAAUGGUUUUUGGAUUACUAGUUGUCGGUUUUUAAAAGAUUCAAAGGACGAACAAUAAUCACUUAACUUAAAAAUAGAUUUCUCUUUUAAUAUCUUAUUAUGACAAUUCUAAAACUUUGUGGUGAGACCGUGUGGUUAGGUUCUCACCCCUAUAACUUUAUCUUUUAGGAGACGGAUGAAAAAGCCCACGAAGGGUUGUAUUGCAUUUUGCUUAGUCGAUAAUGCUAUUUAGUUUCUAUUUACUUACCCCCUCGCCAUCAAUAUUAUAUUAUGUAAGAUGGAUAGGAGUUGUAUAAUUUGUAUAUAUAUAAUAUGUAUAGGUUACUUGAGUAAGAAGUUUUGUACAUGUAUAUGCUUGUUUUGUUUCAUUUAAAAAGUAUAUUUUUUCCGGUUUUCAAAAAGAACAGUGAUACGAUUUCGGGUCAAAUGCUCCUAUUUUAUUAUUAAGUAUAUGAAGUCGUCAUAAUACUUCUUGCUAUCAGAGUAACGUAGCCAAAAGUGUGACAUUCUGAUAGUGAGGGUGUUACAUUGUGGCCAUCAACCUUUCCCAUAUUGAUUUAUCUACUAUUGUUUUGCUUCCUUUUUUUCCAACACCAUGCCUGGUCUUCCCAUGCCUUUCAUGCAGUUAUACACAAUCAAAGAGGGUAAUAAGUUGACACUUGAUAUUGUCCUCUCUAAUAAAAAAUUCUGAUAAUCUUAAAAUGACUAACUAAUUUAUUCUCGUUAUUUGUAUAAAAUAAUGUAUCAGUCAAUAUUAGUAUUUUUUUCCAAUUUUCCACAGUAUUCUUAACUCACCAAAUUAAGGAUUGAUUCGUUGCAGAUUCGAGCUCUAUUUAAGGAUUUGUCAUUAGGCAAUAAGUUGCUGUAUACAUAGGGCGGGACUCGAACUCACAAUACUUAUUUAAGCAGAUGAGUAAGCUAACUAUUCGACCAACCCAAAUUAAUUUCAAUACUAAUAUGUUUGUUUUUAGAAUAAUAUGAGACGAACUUAUUCGAUGAAUUUGUUUAAUAAACAAAAUAUUUGUUAUUUUCAAAUUUUAGAAGAUUUUUUGUCCCUCAUAUUUUUCAUUAAGAAAAAAAAUUGGGAAUUCAUUCGUCAAUAAUUGUAUAUACUUUUUGUUUGUCCAUGUACUUACUAUGUCUUCUUCAUAGUAAUAAUAUGAAAAAGGAGCAUGACUUGAAAUUUUGUUAAGCG